AGCGUAGACGGCGAAGCAAGUCUGAAGUGAAAACCCAGGGCUCAACCCUGGGACUGCUUUGGAAACUGUUUUGCUAGAGUGUCGGAGAGGUAAGUGGAAUUCCUAGUGUAGCGGUGAAAUGCGUAGAUAUUAGGAGGAACACCAGUGGCGAAGGCGGCUUACUGGACGAUAACUGACGUUGAGGCUCGAAAGCGUGGGGAACAAACA
Molecule: ribosomal RNA, 207 nt
Filed under: uncultured bacterium
Lineage: Bacteria
Description: partial 16S ribosomal RNA
Rfam family: Bacterial small subunit ribosomal RNA
Source: RNAcentral